GAUGAACGCUGGCGGCGCGCCUAAUACAUGCAAGUCGAGCGAACAGACGAGGAGCUUGCUCCUCUGACGUUAGCGGCGGACGGGUGAGUAACACGUGGAUAACCUACCUAUAAGACUGGGAUAACUUCGGGAAACCGGAGCUAAUACCGGAUAAUAUAUUGAACCGCAUGGUUCAAUAGUGAAAUACGGUUUUGCUGUCACUUAUAGAUGGAUCCGCGCCGCAUUAGCUAGUUGGUAAGGUAACGGCUUACCAAGGCAACGAUGCGUAGCCGACCUGAGAGGGUGAUCGGCGACCCUGGAACUGAGACGCGGUCCAUACUCCUGCGGGAGGCAGCAGUAGGGAAUCUUCCGCAAUGGGCGAGAGCCUUACGGAGCAACGCCGCGUGAGUGAUGAAGGUCUUCGGAUCGUAAAACCCUGUUAUUAGGGAAGAACAAAUGUGUAAGUAACUAUGCACGUAUUGACGGUACCUAAUCAGAAAGCCACGGCUAACUACGUG
Molecule: ribosomal RNA, 497 nt
Filed under: uncultured bacterium
Lineage: Bacteria
Description: partial 16S ribosomal RNA
Rfam family: Bacterial small subunit ribosomal RNA
Source: RNAcentral